CCCUGAUGUUAGCGGCGGACGGGUGAGUAACACGUGGGUAACCUGCCUGUAAGACUGGGAUAACUCCGGGAAACCGGGGCUAAUACCGGAUGCUUGUUUGAACCGCAUGGUUCAAACAUAAAAGGUGGCUUCGGCUACCACUUACAGAUGGACCCGCGGCGCAUUAGCUGGUUGGUGAGGUAACGGCUCACCAAGGCAACGAUGCGUAGCCGACCUGAGAGGGUGAUCGGCCACACUGGGACUGAGACACGGCCCAGACUCCUACGGGAGGCAGCAGUAGGGAAUCUUCCGCAAUGGACGAAAGUCUGACGGAGCAACGCCGCGUGAGUGAUGAAGGUUUUCGGAUCGUAAAGCUCUGUUGUUAGGGAAGAACAAGUACCGUUCGAAUAGGGCGGUACCUUGACGGUACCUAACCAGAAAGCCACGGCUAACUACGUGCCAGCAGCCGCGGUAAUACGUAGGUGGCAAGCGUUGUCCGGAAUUAUUGGGCGUAAAGGGCUCGCAGGCGGUUUCUUAAGUCUGAUGUGAAAGCCCCCGGCUCAACCGGGGAGGGUCAUUGGAAACUGGGGAACUUGAGUGCAGAAGAGGAGAGUGGAAUUCCACGUGUAGCGGUGAAAUGCGUAGAGAUGUGGAGGAACACCAGUGGCGAAGGCGACUCUCUGGUCUGUAACUGACGCUGAGGAGCGAAAGCGUGGGGAGCGAACAGGAUUAGAUACCCUGGUAGUCCACGCCGUAAACGAUGAGUGCUAAGUGUUAGGGGGUUUCCGCCCCUUAGUGCUGCAGCUAACGCAUUAAGCACUCCGCCUGGGGAGUACGGUCGCAGACUGAAACUCAAAGGAAUUGACGGGGC
RNAcentral lists this ribosomal RNA (850 nucleotides) under Bacillus subtilis. RNAcentral describes it as "bacterial SSU rRNA". It matches the Rfam family "Bacterial small subunit ribosomal RNA", at positions 84 to 919 of the family's 1533-position model. Lineage: Bacteria; Bacillati; Bacillota; Bacilli; Caryophanales; Bacillaceae. The record is from RNAcentral.